AAAAAGUCAAACCCUAUGUUUUCGUGUCCAACUUUGACUGUCCGUCUUAUAUGAAAUUUUUUUAUAAUUCGUAUUUUCAUUGUUGUUAGAUGAUAAAACAUGAUUAAUAUUUUAUGCGUGACUUGUCUUUUUAAUAUUUUUCAUAAUUUUCAAAUAAGACGAACGGUCAAACGUUGAGCACGGAAACCAGGGUUUGUCUUUUU
This is a microRNA precursor of Oryza sativa Japonica Group (Japanese rice), 203 nucleotides long. It matches the Rfam family "MIR812 microRNA precursor family". The record is from Rfam. NCBI's taxonomy places the organism in Eukaryota, Viridiplantae, Streptophyta, Magnoliopsida, Poales, Poaceae.